GAAACUUUAAGUCCAGCAAGAAUGUAUAAAAUCAGAAGUACAAUAUAUAAUUGUGAAUGAUUCACCCAUUCAGUAUACAGAUCAAACAUAGACUUCUUUAAUUCACCACUUUCGGUUUUGUUGAAUUUUACCUUAAAAAAAACUAUGGUUUUAGUUGACAUCAUUCGUGCAUUGUUAGACAUUGUCAGUUUCUUCCCAUGUUGAGCGAAUGUAUAUAAAACUAGAUGUUAUAUUGCACAACUUUUUUGGCAAAGUAAAUUCUUAUAACUAUAGUCUUUAGGGAAUUGUAAUUAAGUACCUACACAACAAAUAUUAUUUCUAGAUCAUCCUGCACAAUGAUGAUCUUAAAGAUGCUUGUUGAAUUUUGAUAGUACAGGGAUAUAGGCAGUCCUCUCUAUAUGGUAAAUGACUUCACAAAGGUGUACAUAAUUGACUCACUUAUCCGGUGAAGGGAUGGAAAGUGGACUAUUUACAUGGAAUCAAUUUAUUUAUAAUGUUUGGAGAAAUACAAUACAUUUGAGAAAAAAUAUUUUAGAUGUGUGAUUUUUUUUUCUAUUGAUGUAAACAACUAUACAUUAAAAGGAUUUUCUUAAUGUGACAAGUACAUAAAUAAAUAAUUUGCCUGUUUAAAUUUGUGACCAGUAUUUUUUUUUUUGAAAUGCUUACCUGCAGACGGCAAAUGCUUUAUUUGUAUAAAUAUAUUGUUCUGUUAUUAAAUUGCAGCAUUCUUAGGAUAAGAAAAUAUAUAAGUUGUUGUCUAUGCAAAACUUGCCAUUACCAAAGGAAAAACAAAGACAAUGAAUAAUAUAUUAAAAAUCAAAAACAUGAUUUGACAGUAAAUUUAUUUUUUUUGCAAGCAGAAAAUUGGUUUUCCUAUUAUAAUUUACAAUUUAUUCAUGACAGUGAAGCCCUAUGGUUUUUCAAGUGUUGGAGGUUACCUUCUAAAAUAUGUACAGACACAAAAACUUAAAUAACAUAAUACUCAAUGAUCUGUCUCGACCCACUGUCUCAGCUCAUAUACAGUGUAUGGAUAAGUUAAUGUUUAAGAGAUAAGUAGGUGGGAAGAUUUGCACAAAGGAAUAUACAAAUCAAAACAGGGUUUUUGAGAAUACAUAAUUUUUUGAUUAGCAUUCAUAAUUGAGUAAGAUGUUAAUUAGAAUUUGAAAUUGCUGGAUAUAAGAUAAUGUCAUGUUCCCAUGAAUAAAAAUGAUUUUUUUG
RNAcentral lists this long non-coding RNA (1218 nucleotides) under Mytilus galloprovincialis (Mediterranean mussel). The record is from RNAcentral. Lineage: Eukaryota; Metazoa; Mollusca; Bivalvia; Mytilida; Mytilidae.